AUAAAUCCCAACCAGUCACCCCUAGAUUUAAAGAGAAUCAAGUUUGGAUUUCAAAUUAAUUAUGCUUGAUUGUAGGGAAGAUAAUUAAGAAAGUUAGAUUUAGAGUGGAUCACGUUUUAUUAUAAGAAAAUCCACAGAGAAGAUAAUUGUUGUAUUUAGAUUAAUCAUUUGUUUAAAAUGCAGUGGCAUAGAGUUGUAAUUAUUUAGGAAAAAUCAGGAUUAAGUAUCAAAUGUACUUCAGUUUUAAUAGAUUAGAUUAGUGUAAAUUCUCAUGAAGAGCGUUUAUAAUUGAGAUGGGAGCAUAAAUAUGAUAAGUAAAACCACAUCGUUGAUUACUCAUUGAUCGAGCUAAGAUGUCUGCCACCUUGUUGUUUUCCCUUGGUGUCCAAGUAAAGUUGCAUGAUUGGAAUUUUGAUGACCAUGAUCCAUAUCACGCACCCAGUUAUGUAACUUAAAUUCUUCUUGCAUCCUUGGACUAAAUCAUGAAGUUCUUUGCAGUCUAAUUCAAAUAUGACGUGUUGAAAUCCCUUGCACCAAGUAUUCUGCAUCGCCAUUAGUAGUGCUUGACAUUCUGCUUCAAUACUGUUCGAUCUGUUGCCAAAAGCUCCUUAUCCCGAUCCUGUAUAAGUACCAUUUUCAUCUCGAGAUACCCAUCCUACUUUAGCUAUUCCAUCUCGCACAUUCCAACUUCCAUCAUAAGAAGAAGAAGAAGAAGUUAAUUAUUUUGAAAUAACGAAAAAGGGUAUUUCGUGAUGGAAUCGUUCGCGAGCGAGGAUGAGAUUGGAGGCUUGAGGAAGAGGAUGGACGAGUUGCUGACUCAAUUUGAUCCUUCCGAAUCUUCCUCUGUUUUCUCCACUACAAAUCAGGUUAACUCCAUCGUACUUAUGUUUUUCUCUGAUUUUAAUUACUUAACUCUGAUGGAUACCUGAUAUUAUUAUGUUUCUUCUGCAGCAGCACACGAAGGAUCAUUACUUCUUUGACAGCGCUGCAAAAAUCUCCUUCUUCUUUGAAGGUAUCCUUUAACCCCUAAAGCUUUUCAUAGUGUUCCAAUGGUGUUCUUGGCAAUUCUAUGCUGUUUGUAUGUGUGCAAGUGCAAUUUUACUUUGCUUGUAUGUGUGCAAGUUCUCUGUUCCUAACUUUGAUUUUUGUAUGCGUUGAAUUUGAGAAUGUAAGUUUUCAAAAUGCACAUGUGUAGGAAACUGCAAUCAUUUCUUUGUAUUGACUUAUUCAGGAUGCAAUUUUUGUAAAUUUUAAUCAUUUUAGUUGGAAUUAUCUACUCGUUUUGUUAUAAUCUAGCCAUUAGCUGCUUUUUGUACUGUAAAGAGUUGUUGUGUGUUUGAAACUCAGAAAAAGAUUUUGGCGACGAUGGGGAAUUGAAGCAACCAAAAGAGCUUCUAUAAACAAAGUUGGCCAUGGUAUUUUACUCAACAUGUUACUUUAGUUUAGUGUUGGGUGGAAAAACACGUCUGAUAAUGUUUUUUUUUUGUUGGCGCAGCACUGCACGAGCUUGACCCAUUGUAUAAGGAAUUCACGUAUUCGUCCAAGGUCUCAAGUUUGGUAUCAUCAUUUGGUCGUCAUGCAGUCCAUGUACAUUUUCAAGGUACUUUUCAAUUCACUUCUACACACAACUUAGAUCUAUGGUACAAUGUUGCUACAAAAUUCCAUAUGUUCACACUAUAUGUUGAUUUCUGUUAAUAACUAAUUAGGAACUGAUAUUAAUAUGGAAAUUUUCAACUGUUAUAUGUUUAUUUGAACUACUUCAGAACUAGUAUUUCUAGUUAAGUUAAAAUUUCAAAAGCUAUCUCUAGAUAGUGGUGUUGUCUCUUUGGAAUAAUAAACCUAAUAUGAGUUUAUCAACUAUGCAUUGGGGCAAUUGAUUUAACUACCAACCUGGAAUCGGAGGCGAAGUUGUGCCACACCAAGAUAAUUCUUAUGUGUACACGGAUCCACCUAGUUGUACUGGUCUUUGGAUGGCCUUAGAAGAUUCCACAACUCUUUAACGGUUGUCUUUGGGCGAUACCCGGAUCUCACAAGAGUUGAUGUUUAACCUCUAUGUCUUCUGUUCUUUGUGAUCUUUAUAGUUUCACGUAGCUAAACAUCUUUUCUUUCCUUUGCUUCAGACGGUCUGGUUAGAAGGUUUGUCCGGGGUGAAAAUGGUGUAACUUAUGAUCAGCCAUCCCCAUCUUACGAGCAGAAAGAUUUUGUACCUAUUGAAAUGAAACCAGGCUCAAUAAUUGCCAUUCAUGGUGAUCUAAUCCAUCAAAGUUUUGAGAAUCUAUCUCCUAAGUCGAGACAUGCCUAUAGCUUACAUGUAGUAGAAUCUGAUGGAUGCAAAUGGGCACAAGACAACUGGAUUCGAAGAGAAAACACACCUGAGCCUCUCUAUUCCCCUUAAUUACAAGCCAGUCGCGUUUAUCAAUUUUCUUCUGAACAAUAAUAAGAACAUGGCUAAAUAAGGCCCUUGUUGUGUCAUUUGCUUGUCGAAAUACAAUUUGUUUCUGCUUGGUUUCUGUAGUUCUGUCUUUAGAGUAUGAUCAGUAAAGUGUGGCAGUGAUUACUUGAUAUUUCUGUGAUUAUAGCUUUGAAUUCGUAGUAAUUAGACACUGAAGAAAGUCAUAAGAAGUGGCUAGACCCUAGAACCCAUGAGGCAGAAGAGAGUUUGAGAAAUAAAUGACCAUUGGAUACAGCUUUGUAUUUUUUGUUUCUCAAGACUUUUGAAAUGUUAAUGUGAUUUGAGGAAUGGGACAAAACUAUAUCUGUCCUGUUGUAAUUGUACUAGGAAAUAUAAAACGUGGGACUGAUCUUUUAGGUGCAGAAACAAUAUAUAGAGUCAAUAAAAGAGUUAUGGUCGAAGUUAUAAA
This is a long non-coding RNA of Brassica napus (rape), 2861 nucleotides long. RefSeq lists it as uncharacterized. Lineage: Eukaryota; Viridiplantae; Streptophyta; Magnoliopsida; Brassicales; Brassicaceae. The transcript is spliced from 3 exons. The record is from RefSeq and is a predicted model, not a curated record.